CAAAUAUGUGUAACUUCUGAAAUAAACAGAAAUUAUGCCAAUUUUGUGUUCGGACGAGAAUAGAGAUAUUGUGAGAGAUAAAAAAAAAAUUACUUUUCGAUGAUUGGAUUGGCAUGGUAGGAAUAAAAAUAAUUAUGAUUGAAAAAAUAAUUAAUCUAAAUAAUAAGCAUCUAAAUACUCGUAAAAUAAUAUUUUAACAAAUUAAUAAAUAAAUUAAUUAAAAAUACUAUAUGAGAUGGUGAAGAAUUACAUUAAUAAGUGAAUAACUAUAAAAAAAUAAGUCGCUAUAUUAAUAUUAAUAAAUUAUUUAAUCAAUUAUAUUUUUAGUUAAUAUAUUAAUUUGAUAAAUUAAAAUAUUAAUUAUGUAAAUGAUGUAAAUAUUAGUUAAUGAUUUAAUAAGCAUAUAUAUCAACUCUAAUUAUUUAAUUAAUUAGAUAAUUAAUUAUAAUUUAUAAAUAAUAAAUUAAUUACUAUUUAAAUACUUAUUAAUGUAAUAAGUCAAAUAAUUAAUUAUUAAUUAAAUUAUUUAAAAGUUAAUUGCAUUAUUUAAUAAAUAUUUUAUAUUAUUUAUAACUUAAUUAACUAGUAGAAGGAUAAAAUAAA
RNAcentral lists this long non-coding RNA (603 nucleotides) under Ananas comosus (pineapple). RNAcentral describes it as "long non-coding RNA (ACOM_LNC001368)". Lineage: Eukaryota; Viridiplantae; Streptophyta; Magnoliopsida; Poales; Bromeliaceae. The record is from RNAcentral.